CCUACGGGUGGCUGCAGUAGGGAAUAUUGGACAAUGGGCGCAAGCCUGAUCCAGCCAUGCCGCGUGGAGGAAGACGGCCCUCUGGGUUGUAAACUCCUUUUAUACAGGAAGAAACCUCCCCAUUUAUGGGUGAGCUGACGGUACUGUAGGAAUAAGCACCGGCUAACUCCGUGCCAGCAGCCGCGGUAAUACGGAGGGUGCAAGCGUUAUCCGGAUUCACUGGGUUUAAAGGGUGCGUAGGCGGAUUGUUAAGUCAGUGGUGAAAUCAACGGGCU
This 275-nucleotide ribosomal RNA is filed under the name uncultured bacterium. Its description in RNAcentral is "partial 16S ribosomal RNA". It matches the Rfam family "Bacterial small subunit ribosomal RNA", at positions 338 to 609 of the family's 1533-position model. The record is from RNAcentral.